ACGAACCUCUGGUGUACCGGUUGUGACGCCAGUCGCAUCGCCGGGUAGCUAUGUUCGGAAGGGAUAACCGCUGAAAGCAUCUAAGCGGGAAGCCUACCUCAAGAUAAGAUUUCCCCGAGACUUUAUGUCUCCUAAAGAGCCGUUGAAGACUACGACGUUGAUAGGUUGGAUGUGGAAGUGCGGUGACGCAUGAAGCUGACCAAUACUAAUUGCUCGUGAGGCUUGACUAUACAACACCCAAACAGUUG
RNAcentral lists this ribosomal RNA (248 nucleotides) under Acinetobacter sp. ANC 4169. RNAcentral's name for it is "partial 23S ribosomal RNA". It matches the Rfam family "Bacterial large subunit ribosomal RNA", at positions 2701 to 2925 of the family's 2925-position model. The record is from RNAcentral. Lineage: Bacteria; Pseudomonadati; Pseudomonadota; Gammaproteobacteria; Moraxellales; Moraxellaceae.